Molecule: ribosomal RNA, 355 nt
Filed under: Opecoelidae sp. GG-2003
Lineage: Eukaryota; Metazoa; Platyhelminthes; Trematoda; Plagiorchiida; Opecoelidae
Description: eukaryotic LSU rRNA
Rfam family: Eukaryotic large subunit ribosomal RNA
Source: RNAcentral
CCAAGGAGAAUAACAUGUGCGCGAGUCAUUGGGCGUAACGAAACCCAAAGGCGUAGUGAAAGUAAAUGUUUGACUUGUUCAGACUAAGGUGAGAUCCUGCCGUUUCUCACGCGCGGUACCACCAAGCAUCGAGCGGCAGGCGCAUCACCGGCCCGUCCCAUGACUUAGGCAGUCGAUUUAUUGAUUGUACAGUUGGGGCGGAGCAAGAGCGCACACGUUGUGACCCGAAAGAUGGUGAACUAUGCUUGUGCAGGUUGAAGCCAGAGGAAACUCUGGUGGAGGAUCGCAGCGAUUCUGACGUGCAAAUCGAUCGUCAGACAUGAGUAUAGGGGCGAAAGACUAAUCGAACCAUCUG